UUGAAGUGUUAAUACUGUUCCCCUUCCAUCCUAUGCUCAGACUAUAUAUCUGUGCAAAUAAAAUUAUAUGUCUUACAGACACCAUUGACCUUCAUUUCAAGCAAACUGAACCCCAGAAAGUCUCAACGAAGCCUAUGGGAAGCAAAUAUAUGGAUAAUGAAAGUAAAUGGUGUGAAACCUAUUUCUGUACUAGAGGUCUGGAAACAGCACGUUCCAAUGCUUUAAAUGGUCCACAAGAGCAUUCAGAGCUUAAAGUUCCAAGAGCAUGAGAAGACUUAUGCAACAGCAUUAUUCAUACGUCAAUGGUCCUGUUAAUAAAAGAUCUAUUAAGUAUCA
Long non-coding RNA from Podarcis raffonei (Aeolian wall lizard), 336 nucleotides. RefSeq lists it as uncharacterized. The record is from RefSeq and is a predicted model, not a curated record. The transcript has 2 exons. NCBI's taxonomy places the organism in Eukaryota, Metazoa, Chordata, Lepidosauria, Squamata, Lacertidae.